RNAcentral lists this long non-coding RNA (753 nucleotides) under Fukomys damarensis (Damara mole-rat). Its description in RNAcentral is "lncRNA (ENSFDAG00000029246.1)". The record is from RNAcentral. Lineage: Eukaryota; Metazoa; Chordata; Mammalia; Rodentia; Bathyergidae.
CGCAUCCACCUUUAGCCUCAGAAAGGACUGGGCCUUGACCACAUUGAAUUUAAACCUCCACCGUGUUUCAGAUAUCUCCGUUCUGUUUUGACAUGGCGGAGUAAGACAAAUACACCCAAAUGGCAGCUCCGGAGACCCUAGAACACACUGUGCUGUACCCUGACCCUCUAGCAGAGUUGUCACCGCUGGAGAGAAACAGAUUUUGCCUCCAAGAAGGAGAAGAGAGAUGCAGGCUCACGGAGCAGAACAUGAUGAAUAUCACUUUUCCACUGGGGCAAAAGUCACACAGCCAAAGAAGCGAGGCAAUCAUCCAGAAAACAAAAUUGUUUUUGUCUGAGUGGCCAUUGGAGAGACUGAAAAACAGGCUCUUCAGACGCAACUUCUUCAGAAUAUUUUUAGUACAGGAGGAUGUAGAACCCACGGAUACGGAUGACCUGUUGCGCAUCUCAUGAUAAUCCCUACAGGUGGGUGAUACAGAGUGCGCCAGCCCCAAAGAGAGCCCACGGCCUUAGGAUGACGUGGCAGUGACAUUCAUCGCUGAGGAAGGGGAUCUGACAGAAAUGACAGGGGCCUCAGGGUGCCCCAGUGUGCACAGAGAGUGAUGAAUGUUAACCAGAUGCUGGUCUCCCUCCACCCUCAGAAGGUACAGGAAUUUGAAGGAGAAAGGAGAACCGGGCAGUGAGGACAGCUCUGAGAUGCCUCUGAGUUUACUGACAUGUAGUUUCCUCCAUCUGCCAAAGCAAAACUUCAAAC